UAACCUCUGACGAAGACCGUGAAUGUUA
RNAcentral lists this non-coding RNA (28 nucleotides) under unclassified sequences. RNAcentral's name for it is "L19-Flavobacteria ribosomal protein leader". It matches the Rfam family "L19-Flavobacteria ribosomal protein leader". The record is from RNAcentral.